AGUCUUAUAGUUUAAUAAAAACAUAAAAUUGCAAAUUUUAAUUUGAAUAUUUUCUAAGACUU
Molecule: transfer RNA, 62 nt
Filed under: Convexana sp. 1 JW-2022a
Lineage: Eukaryota; Metazoa; Arthropoda; Insecta; Hemiptera; Cicadellidae
Description: tRNA-Cys
Source: RNAcentral